Molecule: long non-coding RNA, 369 nt
Filed under: Linum usitatissimum (flax)
Lineage: Eukaryota; Viridiplantae; Streptophyta; Magnoliopsida; Malpighiales; Linaceae
Description: long non-coding RNA (LUSI_LNC001414)
Source: RNAcentral
ACAGAUGCCAUUAAAAGCAUAAACUCCAAAAUGGAAUUUUACAUCUGAAAGGCAUAAUAAAACUUGAAAGCCAAAUAGUAGAAGCGAGCAGAGACUGAUAGUAGAUGAUAAGGACGGAUAUAUUGUCCGCAUAAAAUGCUAAAAACACCUAUUUAAUAUUUAUACUAACAUGUAAACUAACCUUGAGAUCAGACAGGUCCACGCAUCUUCCAAGUGAAGCGGGAAGUUCAGAGAGCUUAUUGCUUGAACAAUCCAACCUAAAGGAAAACUCAUACAUCAGUAAAAUGAAGCUAUUAAGAAUUCAACUUGCUGGAAUUUUUAGCAAAAAAGAAAGGAUCUUUAUACUGUAAACCCAAUACCAUCAUGUUA